CCUACAUGGAGCAAUUGCACGGGAAACUUUCUCAUCACUUUCCUCACCUGUCCUAGUUCUGGUCACGAGAAGCAGUGAGGACCUCUUCUACAAGCUCAUUACUACAUUUCAAGGUCUUCAUGUAUUUUGUCCAGAUGACAUCCCAGUGCACUUGAUUCAAUGUAAUCCCCAGAAAUCAUGGAGACAUAGAGGCCUGGGACAGCAGUGCUAUUAUUGUUCACUAACAGUGCUUGAGAGAAUACAAAGUACUGGGACAGAAGCACCCUAAACCUACACACAGUACUGUCUUUUCACUGAAAGCUUGUCUUAAUUUUCUCAUUGAAGAUAUCUCAAAACCUCAAAUAAAUAAAUUUAUAUCAACAACUUGCA
Molecule: non-coding RNA, 369 nt
Organism: Lonchura striata (white-rumped munia)
Lineage: Eukaryota; Metazoa; Chordata; Aves; Passeriformes; Estrildidae
Source: RefSeq, a predicted model, not a curated record